UGAGGAAUUUUGCGCAAUGGGGGAAACCCUGACGCAGCGACGCCGCGUGGGUGACGAAGGUCUUCGGAUCGUAAAGCCCUGUCAGGUGGGAAGAAGUGCACAGCGGUUAAUACCCGAUGUGUUUGACGGUACCACCAAAGGAAGCACCGGCUAACUCCGUGCCAGCAGCCGCGGUAAUACGGAGGGUGCUAGCGUUGUUCGGAAUCACUGGGCGUAAAGGGCGCGUAGGCGGCUGAUCAAGUCGGAUGUGAAAGUCCAUGGCUCAACUGUGGAAGUGCAUCCGAAACUGGUCGGCUUGAGUACCGGAGGGGAAAGUGGAAUUCCCGGUGUAGAGGUGAAAUUCGUAGAUAUCGGGAGGAAUACCGGUGGCGAAGGCGACUUUCUGGACGGAUACUGACGCUGAGGCGCGAAAGCGUGGGGAGCAAACAGG
RNAcentral lists this ribosomal RNA (430 nucleotides) under uncultured Desulfobulbaceae bacterium. RNAcentral describes it as "bacterial SSU rRNA". It matches the Rfam family "Bacterial small subunit ribosomal RNA", at positions 355 to 776 of the family's 1533-position model. The record is from RNAcentral. Lineage: Bacteria; Pseudomonadati; Thermodesulfobacteriota; Desulfobulbia; Desulfobulbales; Desulfobulbaceae.